GGGGCCAUAGCUCAGCUGGGAGAGCGCUUCGCUGGCAGCGAAGAGGUCAGGGGUUCGAUCCCCCUUGGCUCCA
This 73-nucleotide transfer RNA is filed under the name Paenibacillus albiflavus. It matches the Rfam family "tRNA". From Rfam's summary of the family: Transfer RNA (tRNA) molecules are approximately 80 nucleotides in length. Lineage: Bacteria; Bacillati; Bacillota; Bacilli; Caryophanales; Paenibacillaceae. The record is from Rfam by way of RNAcentral.